Long non-coding RNA from Prionailurus viverrinus (fishing cat), 1177 nucleotides. RefSeq lists it as uncharacterized. Lineage: Eukaryota; Metazoa; Chordata; Mammalia; Carnivora; Felidae. The transcript is spliced from 7 exons. The record is from RefSeq and is a predicted model, not a curated record.
CCCGGCCCACCGCUUCCGCCCCCGUAGCUUCGGUCGCUGCCCGGAGCCAGCGGGUCCGCGGCUGGCUGCGCUGAGGAGUCCGCGGGCAGGGGGCGGUGCCGCCUCCCGGGCCGCCCGCCGCCGCUACCGAGAGAUACCCAAAGCCUCUCAUCUCCUUCCUGCACUGAAAUGAAAGGUAAAUAUCAGUGGUUCUCAAAGUGUGGUUCCUGGACCACAGCACUGCCAUCCCCUGGGAACUUUUAGCAAUGCAGAUGCUCAAGCCCCACCUCAGACCUACUGAAGCUGAAACUCUGGAGCUGGACCAGUGAUUUAACAAACCCUCCAGGCGGGCAGCAAAUGGUGACAGCUGUACCAGGCAUCACAUCCAAAUGCCACGUCAUCCAGAGGCAGCAGAUAGGGGCUGUCUCUCCUACAGUCUACUUCUCAGAGGAGGUCUGUGUUACUUCUCCAGUUGAUCGAGGAGGAAAUGGAGGCACAGAAAGAGGCUCCCCUGCUAUGAGGAAAAUGGAAGACUGGCCAACAGGAGCGUCCUGAUGUGCUUGAGAGUGGAUUUGCUGGAUGUGUAAGCUGGUUUUCAGGAAUUUGAAUUGCUCUGGUGUGAAACUGAGUAUAUGCCAUGGCUGGCUGACGGAGAACAAGAACUUACAGACUGAGAGAGGCAGUGGUGAGCCAGAAGUUACAUCACGGUGCCUGGAGCAUCAUGGCCCCAUAAAGAACAACAGUCUGUGAGGUCCACACCUUCAACAUUUGAAUGUUGAAGAAGGCUCUGAGUUUAUGUAAAGCCUUUGACGUUGUGAGAACAGACUUAGAAGCCAGAUUGCUUGCAUCCAAAUCUGGACACCACCACUUACUGGAGUGAAGUAUUAUAUCUGAGAAGAUCUGAAGUGCUCGGGGCAGUAAACAGGGCUUUGGAGGCUGUCUGGGGAAGGAAGCAGGGAGCAGCAAAGGAGCUGACUAGAAGAGGAUUUGGAAGGGAACCAAGAUACCCCUUAGGAAUUGAAGAAGUCUUGUGGUGUGUGAGGUCAAUCCUCUCUCCAUUCUCUCCAACAAAACCUUCAGUAAAUUGUCUCUUCUGUGAGUGCAUUGUGGAUCUGUCUUGAGGGGCACAUCAAAUGAGUGAGAGAGACAGAGCACAAGCAAAGGAGGGGCAGAGAGAGAGGGAGACACAGAAUCCGAA